CUAUGACAGGAAAGUAGCAUCGUCCACAGCAAAUUCAAUGUGUGCUGUGGGAGGAAAAGUUGGCAAGUACACAACGGAAAUCUACAAAGUCAAUUUUCAAAGCAGGGGUCUUAACCUCAAGCUGCCAUUGAUUAAGUGAGAACUACUGAGGUAAAGCACUAUGGAAUACUUCAAACGUAACCGAUGAAUAGAGCUGUCCAGUUAAAGAAACAAAAAGGAUAAGCAAGAAUGGUGCUAGCAAGAUUAUGGAAAGCUGAGAACAUACCCACGAAAAAACUCUGGAUUGACAAAAUCAUAGAAAUAAAGGAAAUGGACAAAUUAACUUUUUUCAUUAAGAGAACCAACGGUAGAGCAAUGAAGGAAACAGACUGGACUAUGCUUGAGGACUAUUUAAAGAAAAAUCAUAAAUGUUGAAAUGAUAAGAAGAUUACAAAUAAAAAGAAGACUGAAAUGGAAGUCACCCCCCUUGACAUCCCUCCCUUCCUUUCCUAUCUGCCUCCCCCUCCAUCCCCCCCACCCCACUCUCCCCCCAUGUCAUUCCCCCAAAUACUAUGGUGGAGGAAGACUGGGAUACCUCACACGAUCACUCCACACCCCAACAAACCACCUCCCUUCCCCCUCCCUUUGUAUCUUCCCUUGACCCUGUAAUGAAGUAUGAAUUUUUGGUUUACAGAUGUUAUGUUUAAUUGUGUGUUUGUGUUUUAAAAGGGAAAGUAUUACAGUUAUUGCAUCUCAGCACUCAGAAGCUGGUUGCCAUGGAGAAGUAGGUGGAGCCAACUGCCGUUUUGUUGAAGAAAUGCAGAGUUUAAAAAAGGGAUUCAGUUUGUGCUCUGAUGAGGCACAGGGAAGAUUGAUCCUAGGUUGAGGGGAUCAGGGAGACUCAAUUGUUCAUUUUUGAGUCGGUUUAAAAUAAAUUUGGUGACUUAUUUAUUAUGUAGUCUGUGUCCUGGUAAGGAACAGAGAAUCUGUGAUCGUAUAUCACAGGGUGACUGCGGUUUAAAAGUAGCAGAGAAAGAAGUUCUAACUACUUUAAGUAAAAGAAAUGACACUUUAGGGAGUUUGACUCACCUCAUUCUAGUAUUGUAACUGUUAAUAAAAGUGCCUCUAAGUGAAAAACAAUAUUGUAACCACUAAGCUCUGUGCCUGAAUAAACUUGUUAUUGUUCCUCCAACA
Anolis carolinensis (green anole) is the source of this 1173-nucleotide long non-coding RNA. RefSeq lists it as uncharacterized. The transcript is spliced from 2 exons. The record is from RefSeq and is a predicted model, not a curated record. Lineage: Eukaryota; Metazoa; Chordata; Lepidosauria; Squamata; Anolidae.